RNAcentral lists this long non-coding RNA (3768 nucleotides) under Populus trichocarpa (black cottonwood). Its description in RNAcentral is "long non-coding RNA (PTRI_LNC001051)". The record is from RNAcentral. Lineage: Eukaryota; Viridiplantae; Streptophyta; Magnoliopsida; Malpighiales; Salicaceae.
UAUAUAAACAACCCGACAAGUAGAGUUCCUGAUAGAUUCUGGCAGUGAUGGAUAUGGCACAUGGGUUGAAAAUAUUCUAGGCGAUGGAAAUGCAGACAGGUCAGGAACUUGGUUGUUUGCAUAAAGCCUAUACUCAAAGAAAGGCACGAGAUCAUGAGGGUUGAAAGAAUUCAAGGGGCUUUCUGGGGUUUGAUAUUUUUCACGGUUCAUGAUGGAAAAUACCAAGGCUUUCAACCAUGUCGUACCUGAUUUAGGCAUGGAGACAAGUAUAGUGUCAGUGUUGCAUGAUUGAAAGUUAUUUUGGAAUGAAACUACAGCAUGAAUCUCCUUCGGAGGGCACCAAAAGCCUUGGAAAAGAUACAUAUAACAAGAUAUCCAGUCUUUCUCUUUGGGAAGUGAUGAUAGUAAAUCACGGCAUUGAUCACUCUCUCCGGUUUCUGAAACAGUACUGUUUCUUUGAGUAAUUUGAAUGUCUUCCAUGGAAGUUGUUCUUAUCUACCUUGAGUUCAGAGUUUAGCUACCUUUAAAGGUGUUCCUGAUUAAAAUAUAUAUAUGUGUGUGUGUCUGCAAGGAUCAGAACCCCCAUUCCCUGUCUCUAGCUGCUUUCAAAUCCCAAAAAAAAAUAUCUGACGCCCCUCCUCUUGCUGCUUGAGCCAGUGAUCUUUUAUGUACGCAAGAGACAAAUAACAAGCAGACCGAUCAAUUUUUUUUUUGGUAUACUAGAAGAAAAAUAAAAGCAAAGACACGAACAAAAUUUAUCAACAUCUUAUCUGCCAAAUUAACAUCUUAUCUGUCAAAUUGCAAUAGCAGUCCGAUCAAUUUUAAAUCAUUUUAGGCUCCGCUUGCCAAAAAACUCGGUUCGAAAUAAUUAUUUUAAGAUUGACACAACAAUUACAGCCUUAAAUUAAGCUAUUGCUUUUAUAUAAUAAGUUGUCGGUCUAGUAAAAAUAGCCAUUGGCAAUUUCACUAGUCUCCAAAUCUAAGCAUGGGGUCAAGGGUAGGAUUCAGGGAUCCCCAUCCUUGGAUGCGCUCCUCAAAGUUUGGUAAAAAAGAAUCCGAAGUCGGCCAUCUCAGAUAAGCCAUCCCUGAACACAGAGCCGCCACCUAUCUCCUAAUUUCUUCGCCAUCUUAUUGAUCUCAGAUAAGACAUCCCUAAACACAAAGCCGCCACCUAUCUCCUAAUUUCUUCAAAAUCAAAGGCAAAUAGAAGGUGAUGGGUCUCCAACAUGAGGGCAUCAACUCAAGGGGAGUGGGCUAAAAAGCAAACUCACUCCCACACCUUGAUGUGUUCAGUUAGGGUUUGCCUGAUCGAGCCUACCAUUCACAUUGCAUGGGCUCGGGUUAUGCCUGGAUGACCCAACUCUAUUUUAAAUUUUGGAUGAUUUUAUAUUUAGUGCUAACAUGAUUUAUUAUCGCAUAGGACACAAAAUAUUGUUAAAGCAUAUUUAUGUCAGAGUUAUAGUUUUACAAGGUGAUAAUCUGGACAUCCAUAAUAAGAACAAUGAUUAAUUAUGCUGCAUAAUCAUGUAACAAGCAGAUUCACAUUAUAUAUAUAUAAACGCUCAUCAGUCAUUAGGUUAAGAAACAAACUCUAAGCUCAACUAACUCACAAAAAGAAAGCUCAUAUUUUUUUCUUUAACCUCUCAUCAUUUCUUGCAUUAUCUCUUCAAACACACACAUCACCAUAAAGAUUUCACUCUGUUUAUAUAAAUGCUAACUUAAGUAUUAAAGAAUCUCCUAAACCAUCAAGAAGUUUGUUUUGCAAGUGCUCAUAAGGUUAAAGUUCAAUAGUUACCUUCAAUGACUCAAUCUUGAAAUCCCAUCAACCUACAAUUGAAAGGCUCAAAAUAUCCUUUAAAGUUUCCUUAAACUUCAUCGACAAGCCUUGAGCUAAAAUAAGCUUCCUGUUUGAGUGGAGCUCAUAUCAAUCAGAUUAAAUUCAUUAGCUAACUUUAAAACAAUUUAUUUUAAAAUACACAAGAUUUUGAGAAACUUGUAUAAAUUUGGAAAAAUAAGCUAAUUUUAUGUUACUAGCAUUUUUAAAUUUGUCUUUAAUUUUAUUAUUAUGCACUAAUUUUCUUGAUUUUCUAUGAUUAUUCAUCCUUAACAUAGUAGAUAAAUGAAAGUUUAAGCUAAGCUCACUAAUCAAUUUAAACAAGCCAAACUUAAAAGAGAAGCCUAGUUUCAACAAAAAGAGUACUUUGAUCAUCAAGCCUUGCGCUCAUUACAAAGCCAAACAGAGCUUCGACAUUACCCAAAUUAUUAAAUGAUCAUAUUGAUAUCUUGCUAAAAUAUAGCCUCUCUCUCCUCUAGUCCAAAUCGGAUCUUGUAAAAAAUCUGGCAAAACAUUUUUUAAAACGUUGCAUGUUUUGUCUUAUGUACAUCCAUCGUCAUGCACUUAUAUAUUAAUCAUUUGGAGACGAGUAUUAUUAAUUUUCUACUAAAAAACUUCUAGCAGGGUCCAGUAGAAAUUAUCCCAAACAUUUUAUACCAUCAAACUUUAGUGUAAAUCUUUAUAAGUUUUAAACUUAAAUAAUUUUUAUUAUAUGUUAAAAAAUAAUAUAAAUUAUAUAUUAAAAUAUUAUUUAAAAAUUUAAAUUUUUAGUUUGAAAUAAUUAUUUGAAAAGUUGUACGUAACUUCAGUUCAAUUUAAAAGGUUUUUUUUUUUUUUUUUUUAGAGUAGUUGUUUAACUAGUUUUUUAAAAAUUUGUUGGCUUGGAUUAGAUUACUUUGAUCUUAUGAUUUCUAUAUAUAUAUUUAGAAUCUUAAUAUUAAAUAAAAGAAGGGAGGUUGAAAAUUGUGUGUAUUAUAGUUUCCAACGAUAUAUAGAUGAUAGAAGAACAAAGCACAACAAUAUAAUUCAGUAGAACAGAAAAGUUUAUUACAGCUUCCCGUAGACAACAAUCAUGUUUAUUUUUUUGGCUUAACAAACAAAAAUGUAGGAAUCAUCAUGCGUUGUUGUCAAAGCACUCAAGCUGGAAAAAACAAUUAAGAAAAACAACUCAAACAUAGAUAUCGAGGUCUUUGUGGACUCCAGCUAGCUUCGACUAUAGACUAGUAAUCUUGAACUCCAAUCCAGAACCAGCCAACUUUUGUUCUGUGAUCUUGUUUAAACGAUCAACCAUCUCAGGAGUAAGAUAAUUGAUCCAGUCCCCAACCUCACCUCUUCUAAAUAAAGUAUUAUUCUCGAAGUAUGGGAUAGACUUACCUCUCUUGUUUGCCUCGAUAUCCUUCAAACUAUCGAGGCUGCACAGCUUGGAUAUGUCUUCUAUAACCCCAUCCCUCUCUUCCUCCAAAGAAAAGGGACAACCCAAGAACACAGCCAGACUUUUCAUCUGAGAAUUGAUAUCUUCUUUUAAGUCCUCAAACUUAAGAAACAAUACCUUCUCUGGUCUCUCCAAGCUCUCCUUCCAAUACCCUAGAACAUGAUCAAAAAAGGGACCAAACCCUACGACCCCAUUGCAAAAACUAUCAAAAGCCUCCUCCAAAAGAAGUGGUCCACGUCUCUCAGGUCUUGCUUUUGAGAGGAAAUGCCAGAAGGAGAUAAAGUUGUCCAAGGGAUUUCUACAUAUAUAAACAACCCGACAAGUAGAGUUCCUGAUAGAUUCUGGCAGUGAUGGAUAUGGCACAUGGGUUGAAAAUAUUCUAGGCGAUGGAAAUGCAGACAGGUCAGGAACUUGGUUGUUUGCAUAAAGCCUAUACUCAAAGAAAGGCACGAGAUCAUGAGGGUUGAAAGAAUUCAAGGGGCUUUCUGCGGUUUGAUAUUUU